This 468-nucleotide ribosomal RNA is filed under the name uncultured bacterium. RNAcentral's name for it is "partial 16S ribosomal RNA". It matches the Rfam family "Bacterial small subunit ribosomal RNA", at positions 28 to 507 of the family's 1533-position model. The record is from RNAcentral.
GACGAACGCUGGCGGCGUGCUUAACACAUGCAAGUCGAACGGAAAGGCCCUGCUUUUGUGGGGUGCUCGAGUGGCGAACGGGUGAGUAACACGUGAGUAACCUGCCCUUGACUUUGGGAUAACUUCAGGAAACUGGGGCUAAUACCGGAUAGGAGCUCCUGCUGCAUGGUGGGGGUUGGAAAGUUUCGGCGGUUGGGGAUGGACUCGCGGCUUAUCAGCUUGUUGGUGGGGGAGUGGCUUACCAAGGCUUUGACGGGUAGCCGGCCUGAGAGGGUGACCGGCCACCUUGGGACUGAGAUACGGCCCAGACUCCUACGGGAGGCAGCAGUGGGGAAUAUUGCACAAUGGGCGGAAGCCUGAUGCAGCAACGCCGCGUGCGGGAUGACGGCCUUCGGGUUGUAAACCGCUUUCGCCUGUGACGAAGCGUGAGUGACGGUAAUGGGUAAAGAAGCACCGGCUAACUACGUG